AGCCCAGCUUGCUGGGUGGAUUAGUGGCGAACGGGUGAGUAACACGUGAGUAACCUGCCCCUGACUCUGGGAUAAGCGUUGGAAACGACGUCUAAUACUGGAUAUGACUACUGGUCGCAUGGCCUGGUGGUGGAAAGAUUUUUUGGUUGGGGAUGGACUCGCGGCCUAUCAGCUUGUUGGUGAGGUAAUGGCUCACCAAGGCGACGACGGGUAGCCGGCCUGAGAGGGUGACCGGCCACACUGGGACUGAGACACGGCCCAGACUCCUACGGGAGGCAGCAGUGGGGAAUAUUGCACAAUGGGCGAAAGCCUGAUGCAGCAACGCCGCGUGAGGGAUGACGGCCUUCGGGUUGUAAACCUCUUUUAGUAGGGAAGAAGCGAAAGUGACGGUACCUGCAGAAAAAGCACCGGCUAACUACGUGCCAGCAGCCGCGGUAAUACGUAGGGUGCAAGCGUUGUCCGGAAUUAUUGGGCGUAAAGAGCUCGUAGGCGGUUUGUCGCGUCUGCUGUGAAAUCCCGAGGCUCAACCUCGGGCUUGCAGUGGGUACGGGCAGACUAGAGUGCGGUAGGGGAGAUUGGAAUUCCUGGUGUAGCGGUGGAAUGCGCAGAUAUCAGGAGGAACACCGAUGGCGAAGGCAGAUCUCUGGGCCGUAACUGACGCUGAGGAGCGAAAGCGUGGGGAGCGAACAGGAUUAGAUACCCUGGUAGUCCACGCCGUAAACGUUGGGCGCUAGAUGUAGGGACCUUUCCACGGUUUUCUGUGUCGUAGCUA
Molecule: ribosomal RNA, 772 nt
Filed under: Curtobacterium citreum
Lineage: Bacteria; Bacillati; Actinomycetota; Actinomycetes; Micrococcales; Microbacteriaceae
Description: bacterial SSU rRNA
Rfam family: Bacterial small subunit ribosomal RNA
Source: RNAcentral